This 468-nucleotide ribosomal RNA is filed under the name uncultured bacterium. RNAcentral describes it as "partial 16S ribosomal RNA". It matches the Rfam family "Bacterial small subunit ribosomal RNA", at positions 28 to 507 of the family's 1533-position model. The record is from RNAcentral.
GACGAACGCUGGCGGCGUGCUUUACACAUGCAAGUCGAACGGAAAGGCCCUGCUUUUGUGGGGUGCUCGAGUGGCGAACGGGUGAGUAACACGUGAGUAACCUGCCCUUGACUUUGGGAUAACUUCAGGAAACUGGGGCUAAUACCGGAUAGGAGCUCCUGCUGCAUGGUGGGGGUUGGAAAGUUUCGGCGGCUGGGGAUGGACUCGCGGCUUAUCAGCUUGUUGGUGGGGUAGUGGCUUACCAAGGCUUUGACGGGUAGCCGGCCUGAGAGGGUGACCGGCCACAUUGGGACUGAGAUACGGCCCAGACUCCUACGGGAGGCAGCAGUGGGGAAUAUUGCACAAUGGGCGGAAGCCUGAUGCAGCAACGCCGCGUGCGGGAUGACGGCCUUCGGGUUGUAAACCGCUUUCGCCUGUGACGAAGCGUGAGUGACGGUAAUGGGUAAAGAAGCACCGGCUAACUACGUG